AGCUAGAGAGAGAGAGAGAGAGAGAGAGAGAGUGGAAGUAGUUCUGUUUCGCUACAAGACUUUCGAAACGCUUCCUUCCUAGCUAUAUAUAACCUUCAAGUUUCCACCAUCCAUGCUAUAUUUAACUAGACAAGAGUGGUCUCUCUCUCUCUCUCUCUCUCUCUCUCUCUCUCUCAAG
This 178-nucleotide microRNA precursor is filed under the name Prunus dulcis (almond). RNAcentral describes it as "sRNA ncRNA". Lineage: Eukaryota; Viridiplantae; Streptophyta; Magnoliopsida; Rosales; Rosaceae. The record is from RNAcentral.